Molecule: ribosomal RNA, 425 nt
Filed under: uncultured bacterium
Lineage: Bacteria
Description: partial 16S ribosomal RNA
Rfam family: Bacterial small subunit ribosomal RNA
Source: RNAcentral
GUGAGGAAUUUUCCGCAAUGGGCGAAAGCCUGACGGAGCAAUGCCGCGUGAAGGAUGAAGGCCUAUGGGUUGUAAACUUCUUUUCUCAGAAAAGAAUUAUGACGGUAUCUGAGGAAUAAGCAUCGGCUAACUCUGUGCCAGCAGCCGCGGUAAGACAGAGGAUGCAAGCGUUAUCCGGAAUGAUUGGGCGUAAAGCGUCUGUAGGUUGUUUAAAAAGUAUUCUGUCAAAGAUUAGGGCUUAACCCUAGAUAGGCAGAAUAAACUUUUAAGCUAGAGUUUGGUAGAGGCAGAGGGAAUUCCCGGUGAGCGGUGAAAUGCGUAGAUAUCGGGAGGAACACCAAAGGCGAAGGCACUCUGCUGGGCCAAUACUAACACUGAGAGACGAAAGCGAGGGGAGCAAAUGGGAUUAGAUACCCUGGUAGUCC